RNAcentral lists this ribosomal RNA (305 nucleotides) under uncultured bacterium. RNAcentral describes it as "bacterial SSU rRNA". It matches the Rfam family "Bacterial small subunit ribosomal RNA", at positions 335 to 657 of the family's 1533-position model. The record is from RNAcentral.
UCUCCUACGGGGGGCAGCAGUGGGGAAUAUUGCACAAUGGGGGAAACCCUGAUGCAGCGACGCCGCGUGAGUGAAGAAGUAUUUCGGUAUGUAAAGCUCUAUCAGCAGGGAAGAUAAUGACGGUACCUGACUAAGAAGCUCCGGCUAACUACGUGCCAGCAGCCGCGGUAAUACGUAGGGAGCAAGCGUUAUCCGGAUUUAUUGGGUGUAAAGGGUGCGUAGACGGGAAGACAAGUUAGUUGUGAAAUCCCUCGGCUUAACUGAGGAACUGCAACUAAAACUAUUUUUCUUGAGUGUUGGAGAGG